Long non-coding RNA from Nerophis ophidion (straightnose pipefish), 856 nucleotides. RefSeq lists it as uncharacterized. The transcript is spliced from 2 exons. The record is from RefSeq and is a predicted model, not a curated record. Lineage: Eukaryota; Metazoa; Chordata; Actinopteri; Syngnathiformes; Syngnathidae.
CAAAAUUCACCCAUUUAGAGUUCGGAAAUCGGUUCAAAAAAUACAUGGUCUUUUUUCUGCAACAUCAAGGUAUAUAUUGACGCUUGCAUAGGUUUGGUGAUAAUGUUCCCCUUUAAGGACUUGCAGGUAAAUAACACAGCACAAUCAGACUCCAUGGGGCGUUGUGAGUCUUGGACUACUUUUAUGCACAGUGACAAAUGUUGGCAGCUCUCCUUCACAGCCAGCCAUGUUGAAAGUGGCCUAGGCCGCUUCGAACAAACACAUAUCCACGUGCCAAGGCAAGAACGCACACACCAGGCCAGGUAAAGACCUCCCACAUAAUUGGAGGCCGUAAAAGACUGCUGCUGCCUGGAAGUGCAAAGGAGGUGACGUUACUCCCCACUGCUACUUGACAACAACAGGUGACGUCCAUUAGGCGCUUAACGGCCUAACAAAUUACCCAACGCUGCGGCCUACGAGAUGGAAGAAUGCGGCAAUUUUUUUUACGGGCAAUUGUCGCAACGUUAUCAGCUGGCAAUAAAAAAGGAAGAUGAAGAAGGACAAACGGGGUGGGAGACACGUGGCCCCCCGAGGGUCUGCGUGCAGGAAGACAAGGUGUGUGUGUGUGUGUGUGUGUGUGUGUGUGUGUGUGUGUGAUGGCAGCAAGAAAACUUUUAGCCAAGUUGCUGCCUUCAGGGAACCGGGAGAACGUAGGGAAAAUAAACAAACCGACAAGAAAAGUUGAAGUAUACGCAUGCCAACAAAUCUCAAAAUGCAAGCCGCAUUUUGGACACGCUGCCCCAUCCUGGUCAGAGUGCACACUAAGGAUUGCAGAAUUUGGCUGGAAUAGAGUACAUAAUUUACUUUUCUCCACCAA